Molecule: ribosomal RNA, 280 nt
Filed under: Prevotellamassilia timonensis
Lineage: Bacteria; Pseudomonadati; Bacteroidota; Bacteroidia; Bacteroidales; Prevotellaceae
Description: partial 16S ribosomal RNA
Rfam family: Bacterial small subunit ribosomal RNA
Source: RNAcentral
UAGGAAGUGUGCCAGCAGCCGCGGUAAUACGGAAGGUCCGGGCGUUAUCCGGAUUUAUUGGGUUUAAAGGGAGCGCAGGCGGACCUUUAAGUCAGCUGUGAAAUACGGCGGCUCAACCGUCGAACUGCAGUUGAUACUGGAGGUCUUGAGUGCACACAGGGAUGCUGGAAUUCAUGGUGUAGCGGUGAAAUGCUCAGAUAUCAUGAAGAACUCCGAUCGCGAAGGCAGGCAUCCGGGGUGCAACUGACGCUGAGGCUCGAAAGUGCGGGUAUCAAACAGG